RNAcentral lists this unclassified non-coding RNA (202 nucleotides) under Hevea brasiliensis (rubber tree). The record is from RNAcentral. Lineage: Eukaryota; Viridiplantae; Streptophyta; Magnoliopsida; Malpighiales; Euphorbiaceae.
GGGCAGGCCCUGCCACUUACAAGAAUCGUGGUAAAAAUUUAAGUUUUAAAGCAACCAAUCAUUUUGGUUACUUUCCGCAACACUCCAGUAAUCCAUUUUCACUUGUGAACAGAUUCCUAUUGUAGUUUGUGUAAUGCAAAUUUGUCAACCAAUAUUUCUUAUUGAAGUUUUUCUCUUUUUCUUUCUUGGCAUUGAAAACAGA